Physeter macrocephalus (sperm whale) is the source of this 6679-nucleotide long non-coding RNA. RefSeq lists it as uncharacterized. The record is from RefSeq and is a predicted model, not a curated record. Lineage: Eukaryota; Metazoa; Chordata; Mammalia; Artiodactyla; Physeteridae. The transcript is spliced from 3 exons.
GGGGCGGAGCGCGCGUGCGCGGGAGGGGCGGGGGCGCACGUGUGAGGGAGGGGGCGGGGCGCCAAAGCUCCACCCGCCGCGCGUGCAGUCUUUCUCAGGACCCGGGUGCCGGGAACCUGUGGAUCGUCUUCCCCGGUUUCAGUUUCCCCUCUACAUCAGCGUGCCAGACGGUUUCCCCCGUCCUGGGCCGGAAGGCUAGGAUGCGCCCCACUGUCACCUUCCCCAGGGGCAAAGGCUGGGGGGGGUCCCUUCCCCGGAGAGUGACGGGGGGCCGGGGUCACUGCCCGUGGGGUGAACGUGUGGGGCCGGGAGGUCUCUUCCCCGGGGUAGAAGGCAGGGGGCCGGGCCGGGGUCAUUGCCCGCGGAGUGAAGACGGAGGGUGGGGGGUGGUCUCUUCGCCGGGGGCGAAGGCGGGGGACCAGGGUCACUGCCCAGGAGGUGAAGGUGGGGGCCGCGCUCCGCGCGUGGGGCGCAGUAGUAACUGCGAGUAACGAGCGCUUCCGGCGCGUCAGCCGCUAAAUAUAAGGUGCUGAGCGCAUUUUCUCUUUUAAUCCCGCCCCUCCCCCCAAACCUGCGGUGGCGUUCCGCGUCCCUUAAAAUAAAUCCCAGCCGGCCACCAGGGCCUCCGAGACCCGCCUGACCUGGCCUGCUUGCCGCUUUGCCCGGCUCCGGCUCGGAGGCCUCGCUGUGAAGUGGAGAAACGGGCCGCCCCCUCCUGUUCGCCAGACCCCCUUCUUGCCUGCACAGCCCUUUGCUCGAUUGGUGAUUAUGUCUGCGCUUGCUUUCUGCCUGUCUCUCCCUCUUGACCUCAGAUCAGCGACUAGUAUUAGGUCCUGAAAAAAACUUGUAAGUGCCAAACGAAAAAUGAAAGCCGCUGCAGAGAACACCUUACGGCAACCUGCACAUAGGCUCGGGUUCCCCAUUUUACAGAGGAAACUGAGACCCAGCACAGGACAGUUGCCCCGCCUGCCCUUUGUGAAUCCCCCCAUUCCACCAGCACCCGGCAACAGUAAGAGAACAGUAUUGGGUUGGAGAAAAGGGAGCACAGAAGGAGCAGAAGAGAAGAUAGAAAAGUCUUCUUAAUAGAUCUGCCAAGAUUUACCAGUGCAUCUCGGCUCCUGGAGAAUUGCGCUGUUUCUCCUUUUGCCAGAUUGAGAAGACAGCUGACCUGCCCAUCUCACUGCUGGAUGUGAGGACCCCAGAAGAUAAUGCCUCUGACGGGCUUUAGAGAGGCGCUAGGGGCCCGUGCAUGGGAGAUGGUGGUCCCUGCAGAGGACCGCAGAAGCAGCUGGCCGGGUUUCCACUGCACCCACGAGCCACGUACCAAGCCCUGUGUGUUUGGAGGACAGCGUCCCUUAUUAAGGACAGGUGUGAAGAUAAGGACCCAGGACCUGGCCCGGGGUUCCAUCGCAGCCCGUGUCCUGUAGCAGGUGAGGGGCACGUGGCCACAGAAGGCCACUUUGUGACUGAUGUGAACUUGAGAAAGAAUGAUGGGCCCAGCCACUGAUUUCACAGGUAUCAUUGCUUAGUAGGAGCAAAAACAAAACAGGUGAGUUGAUUUAAAGACGUAUUAGUAAUAGAUAGGUGGACACAGAUAAAACAGAAAUCGAGUCUGGAGUCUGAAGCAGGGGACAUGCCAGCAGGGUGGGACCUUGCCUGUCCCCUCCUCUCCUUCGGGACCUAACGCACGAGAUGGGGAGAUGUCCACCCGCUGGGAGGGAGCCUUUGCCCAGAGAGAGCCAGGAGCCAGGAGGAAGCUGAGGGCUGCAGGCGGAUGGGCGGCAAGGGCAAGGCUGGCUUUGAAGGUGACCCGUACCAGGAGCCUUUCAGGCAGGUCACAGGGCUGGGAGGCCCGGGCGGCUGUGUUCAGGGCCUCUGUGGUCAGGGAGUAAAGACAAGAAAAGCAGGCCAGGAAUUCUCCCCGAGGUCUCCGCUCUCUGUGAAUCCAGUGGGAAUCCAUCCCCGUCCCCGGGGCCUGCAGGCCUGUUUUCCCUGGAGGCUCUGUGAGCACCGGUGGCUUGAGGUUCAUGCAUCUUUGGACCCCCCUCCUCUCCUCGCCCUUCUCCUUUACGCCUUCUUUGCUCUUCCAUCUCCCUCUCCUCCCCCUCCCCCUCCCCUACCUCCACUCCUCGUCUCCCCCGCCGGCCGCCCACCCAGCUGAGCCUUCUGGUGAUGAGGCGUGCUGUGGGAAGUAAACAGAAGCGUGUUAGGACCCAGCUCCAGCUCAGCAGCCUCGGCCCACCUUUCCAGGCCCAGCUGGGUGGGAGAGGUAAGCAAGGUUGAUGGGACUCUGGCAGCCCCAGACACUAGGUCCCCGAGUGUCAGACUCUAACGUGGCGGCCCUUCGGAAAUACAGAGAGAAAACACUUAGAGAACAUCCUGGGAACAGGAAGCUGGAUAGACCAGUCGGCUUUCCUCUCCUGGUGAUGAUUAAGCCCCUCGAUACUGAGGGCUUUCAGAGCUCAGGAACAGCUUAGGGUGCACAUUGCUGGGACCCCUUGGCCACCUUCAGCACCCAGGGCCGGUCAGGCAGAGUUGGCUGGCCUCCUGGCCCCAGAGACUCCUGGCUGUGCCUCCAGCACGAAAAGUGGGGCCCAGGUUGUGCCUCGUGCUGUGAGGAUGGAAAGUGCAAGCGAGCUGUUUGCACCAGGCCAGCGUGUGGGAGGGACCCUCGUAACCCCUCAUCCUGGGUCACCAGCGUCCGCUUGCACGUGUGGGGCCUCCCUGAGCGGGAUGAUGGGAAAGGUAGUUGGCGACCGGGGCCUGCCACGUACACAGGGAGGGUUGAGGGAGGCUGCGGUCCCCUGGGCCCUCAGCAUCCCCAGCUGGGCCCCCCUCACCCCUUCCCUCUGCCUGGGCUCCCUCGCCUCAUAUAGGGAAGAAGAGGUGUCCAGGUCAGAGAGUCAGUGGUGAGGGUUUGGCUCCUCCCACCGCCCGCCCCCGCCAGACUGGCAGGGACGGCUGCUGACAGCAGGAGUGGGACAAAGACAGGUUUCAAAGGGGAGAAGGAAAUUGCCCAGAGACGGAGCACGCGGGGGGCCGCUCCUGGUUCCUCCCGCCUCUCCCUCUGCUAUGUGCCCUGGGCGUCUCCUCCGGCCCAGCUUCUCCUGGGGCAGGGUGCCGUCACCCCCGGUGGCGGGGAGGCCAGUGGCUCAGGGUGACCUGCCCUCACACCCUAAGAGCUUCCACGCUGGCCUCGGGUUCUAGCGCAGAGCUUGGCACGAGGCAGGUGCACCAUCGCUGUUUGGCUCAUCUUAAAGGGGGCCACGAGAGAGCCCUGGACAGGGGCUCUGCCAGCAUUCCGUGCCAGCCGCCCGCACCUUGCCUCCUGGUGGGUCCCGAGAGGAGGUCGGAAAAGGGGUGUGGGCAGUGGGGAAGGGGACUGUAGGGUCCCCUGUGUUCCCCUGAGCGCACUACCUGCACAGUCAGGGUCGUUUGUAUUUAUCGACAGCAGAUCCCUCUAAGGGCCCAGUGGUGAUGCGUGUAUGUGUUUGGCAGCAGACACUCACUGGAGCGUUUUCACAGCAAAGCUGGAGACCCCACGACCCAUGACCUCUAGCAGGAGACUGGGUCAGUCUGGGCACCGCACAUGAGCAGACCAUGGCUGCACAGACAGGGCCACGAGGGAAAGACACACAGAGAACAAAUGCCCUGUACAGAGUCACAGGCCCCCGCAACAUACACCGGCUGUUAGAGGUCAGGAUGGCGGUCCCCCAGGGCCCAGUGGUGAGGAGACCAGCCUGGGCUAGAUGCUCAGCCAGGGUCACACGGCCACUGAGUGGCCGACCUGGGAUCCCGAUCUGAGUCUCAGGCUGCUGGCCCGGACACCCUACCUCGUGGCACUCCCUGCUCAGCCGCGGGGGAGACACCAGACGCGGCUUCUUCAUUCAGGGAACGCACGCUGUACAGGUGCCCCAGAUGCAGACUGUCCUGAGGCUGCAGCUGGGCACUGUGGGGAGAGUUCCCUCACCUUGUCCUCUCUUGACCCCGUACAAAGGAUGCAGGAUGUGUCCCAGGGAGUUGCCACGGUAACCCAAAGGCCUACCCGGGGAGUGUCCUAGGAUGUGAACUCCAAGUCAGCUCCAAGGCUGGGCGCUUGUCUUUGCACCUGCCUGAUGGGGCAUGAGCGCUGGCCUGGCAGAACCGCGGCCCCCAGGAAUGAAGUCGUGUAAAUAAAGGAGUGGGGGACUUUCCUGGUGGUCCAGUGGUUAAGACUCCACAUUCCCAAUGCAGGGGGCCCAGGUUGGAUCCCUGGUCAGGGAACUAGAUCCCGCAUGUCACAACUAAAAGUCCACAUGCUGCAACUAAAAGAUCCUGCACGUGGCAACGAGGAUCCGCAUAGUAAAUAUUAAAAAUUAAAUAGUUUAAAUAUUUAACAUUAAAUAUUUAAUAUUUUAAAUAUUAAAAUAAAAAAAAUAAAAUAAAGAAGUGGUAGAGACAGUCCAGCCCUCCCAAAGCCUGUGGUCACCUGGCAGUGCUCGGGAGCCAACGUGAGGACCCCUCGUCUGCAUACUGACAUUCUCACUUGGCGAGAGGCUGGAGUGUGGAUGGAAAGCAUCCUGCCGGGCACAUGGGUGUUUCUGCAAGUGUGAAGGUCCACCCUGUGGACACCAUACACCUUCCCUUCUGUGGCUGCCUUAACCCCCCGAACGCAAAGGCUCGGUGGCCAAGCCUGGGCACCGAGGCAGACGCUUGUCGUGACGUGGACGCCCUCGGGCGUGUGUGGCAGGAGGGGCAGCAUGCGGGCCGGGCUGAGAAGCGGGCUCUCCUCCAGGAAGAUGCCUCGGUCCAGAGCUGCUUCCAGGUUUUCCAGGAGGUUUCAGCAGCUGGACGGGGCGGACGGCACCAAAAACACAUUGCCAAGGCUCGUGUUGCUCAUACAAGCGAUCGCAGACCUCCAGAAGUAUAUAUUUGUCUUUCCCAAGCAACAAACACGAGAACCACAUUUGCCUUGGGAGUCUCCCUGGGUUCGGGGAAGUGUUUUCACAAGUGGCGUUUACCAUGCUCCCUGGGAUCUCGGGGCCAGCGGCCCCGAGUCUGAUCUCUCUCCACGCUGGGCUGGCCUGAACUCACGCUUAUUCGUUCGUUCAUUUGUUUGCUUAGCAACAUUAUUGAGGUAUUAUUUACAUACCAUAACAUUCACCCAUUUAAGGUGUUCAGCUCAGUGGUGUUUAGUAUAGUCACAGAAGUGUGCAGCCACCACCACCGUGUAAUUCCAGAACAUUCCAAUCACAACUCCCCAAACCCUAUAGCCACUAGCGGUCACUCCCCACCGCCCUGUCCCCCAAGGCCCCGGUAACCACUAUGGAUUUGCCUGUUCUGGACAUUUCCCAUUCAUGGAAUCAUACACUAUGUGGUCUUUUGUGACUGGCUCCUUUCACUAUGCAUACGUUUAUGAAUGUUUUCAAGGCUCAUCCGGGUUGCAGCACGUAUGAGUACUUUGUUUCUUUCUGUAGCUGAAUAACAUUCUGUUGUAUGCUGGUGUUUACGUGUUCAGCAGUUGAUGGACAUUUGGUUUGUUUCCACCUUUCAGCUACUGUGAAUAAUGCUGCUGUAAACACUGUGUACAAGGCUUUGUGUGGAUGUAUGUUUUCAUUUCCCCCGGCAUAUACCCCGGAGUAGAACUGCCUGCUCAUAUGGUGAGUCUAUGUUUAACAUUGUGAAAAACCACCAGACGGUUUUCCAAAGUGGCUGCACGUCUUUAUAUUCCCACAGCAACGUGUGAGGGGAGCCUGGUCCUCGUUUGAUGCUCUCUGGGGACAGGGUGUCCAUGUCUCAGCAGGGCUGUUCCUUCAUUUGGGGAUGAAAGGCAUUUCCCUGCUCAGAGGAGUGCCUCGGCACCAGGCGUCCACAUGCUCCGUCAGCAGUCACUCAAGGGGCCGACUUCCGUACUCAGAUGAGCAGGGCAGAGAGAGGUUUCUUUUACCACAGGCCUUGGGAGAGGACUGGCGGGCCGCUCCUGGGAAAGCUGCGCUGGGGUUGCCGCGCAAGCAGCCAGCCUUUUAUCCCAGUCAGCCAUGUGGCACAGGGGUCCCCGACCCCCGGGCCGUGGAUGAGCAGCGGUCCGCCGCCUGUUAGGAACCAGGCCGCACAGCAGGAGGUGAGCGGCGGGCAAGUGAGCGAAGCUUCGUCCGCCGCUCCCCGUCGCUCGCAUCACCGCCUGAGCCAUCCCCCACUCCCCCUGCCGUCCGUGGAAAAAACGGUCUUCCAUGAAACUGGUCCCUGGUGCCAGAAAGGUUGGGGACCGCUGAUGUAGCACGGGAGACGCAGGCCUUCAGCCUGGAGUCCCCAGACCUUACAGCUCCAGGUCUUCAGGCCUGUACUCACCAUCCCUGCCCUGAUACAAGCAGACCUCAGAGAUGUUGUGGGUUCCGUUCCAGACCACCGCAAUAAAGCGGAUAUCACAAUAAAGUGAGUCAUGACUUUUUUGGGUUUCCCAGUGCGUAUAAAAGUUAUUUUUACGCUGUAGUCUAUUAAGUGUUGGGUAGCAUUGCGUCUGAAAAACCUUGUACGUACCUUAGUUUUAAAAUAAUGCUGUUGGAAAAAUGGUGCUGAUAGACUUGCUAAACGCAGGGUUCCCACAAAACUUGUUUGUGAAAAAUGCAACAUCUGCGAAGUGCGAUAAAGCAAAGCAUAAUAAAACAAGGUGUGCUUGUAGAAUGCAGACUAUGCAUUCUAA